GACGAACGCUGGCGGCGUGCCUAAUACAUGCAAGUUGAGCGAUGAAGCUUGGUGCUUGCACCAAUUUGAAGAGCAGCGAACGGGUGAGUAACGCGUGGGGAAUCUGCCUUUGAGCGGGGGACAACAUUUGGAAACGAAUGCUAAUACCGCAUAACAACUUUAAACAUAAGUUUUAAGUUUGAAAGAUGCAAUUGCAUCACUCAAAGAUGAUCCCGCGUUGUAUUAGCUAGUUGGUGAGGUAAAGGCUCACCAAGGCGAUGAUACAUAGCCGACCUGAGAGGGUGAUCGGCCACAUUGGGACUGAGACACGGCCCAAACUCCUACGGGAGGCAGCAGUAGGGAAUCUUCGGCAAUGGACGAAAGUCUGACCGAGCAACGCCGCGUGAGUGCAGAAGGGUUUCGGAUCGUAAAAAUCGGUUGGUAGAGAAGAACGUUGGUGAGAGUGGAAAGCUCAUCAAGUGACGGUAACUACCCAGAAAGGGACGGCUAACUACGUG
Molecule: ribosomal RNA, 497 nt
Filed under: uncultured bacterium
Lineage: Bacteria
Description: partial 16S ribosomal RNA
Rfam family: Bacterial small subunit ribosomal RNA
Source: RNAcentral